AGACCCGAAACCCGGUGAUCUAGCCAUGGGCAGGUUGAAGGUUGGGUAACACUAACUGGAGGACCGAACCGACUAAUGUUGAAAAAUUAGCGGAUGACCUGUGGCUGGGGGUGAAAGGCCAAUCAAACCGGGAGAUAGCUGGUUCUCCCCGAAAGCUAUUUAGGUAGCGCCUCGUGAACUCAUCUCCGGGGGUAGAGCACUGUUUCGGCUAGGGGGCCAUCCCGGCUUACCAACCCGAUGCAAACUGCGAAUACCGGAGAAUGUUAUCACGGGAGACACACGGCGGGUGCUAACGUCCGUCGUGAAGAGGGAAACAACCCAGACCGCCAGCUAAGGUCCCAAAGUCAUGGUUAAGUGGGAAACGAUGUGGGAAGGCCCAGACAGCCAGGAUGUUGGCUUAGAAGCAGCCAUCAUUUAAAGAAAGCGUAAUAGCUCACUGGUCGAGUCGGCCUGCGCGGAAGAUGUAACGGGGCUAAACCAUGCACCGAAGCUGCGGCAGCGACACUGUGUGUUGUUGGGUAGGGGAGCGUUCUGUAAGCCUGUGAAGGUGUGUCGUGAGGCAUGCUGGAGGUAUCAGAAGUGCGAAUGCUGACAUAAGUAACGAUAAAGCGGGUGAAAAGCCCGCUCGCCGGAAGACCAAGGGUUCCUGUCCAACGUUAAUCGGGGCAGGGUGAGUCGACCCCUAAGGCGAGGCCGAAAGGCGUAGUCGAUGGGAAACGGGUUAAUAUUCCCGUACUUGGUGUUACUGCGAAGGGGGGACGGAGAAGGCUAUGUUGGCCGGGCGACGGUUGUCCCGGUUUAAGCGUGUAGGUGUGUGUUCCAGGUAAAUCCGGUU
This 835-nucleotide ribosomal RNA is filed under the name Salmonella enterica subsp. enterica. Its description in RNAcentral is "partial 23S ribosomal RNA". It matches the Rfam family "Bacterial large subunit ribosomal RNA", at positions 711 to 1547 of the family's 2925-position model. RNAcentral also lists the same sequence under 1 other name. Lineage: Bacteria; Pseudomonadati; Pseudomonadota; Gammaproteobacteria; Enterobacterales; Enterobacteriaceae. The record is from RNAcentral.